Non-coding RNA from Chelonoidis abingdonii (Abingdon island giant tortoise), 232 nucleotides. The record is from RefSeq and is a predicted model, not a curated record. Lineage: Eukaryota; Metazoa; Chordata; Testudines; Testudinidae.
ACCCUGCUGGGGACGGGGCUAGGGGGGCACCCAGUGUUGAUCCCCUCCCCCCUUUACAGACAGCAUUCGCAAGGUCCUCAGCCGCCCGCCCAACCCUCUGCUGCUGAAGGUGAAGCUUGAAACCAAGCCCAAGAAGUUUGAGGAUCGUGUGUUGGUGUGACGGCCUGGCGGCUCCACGUCUUCGGGCUGAAAGUGCGGCCAAGGUGAAAGCUCCUCAAUGCUUGGAAAUUCG